Molecule: ribosomal RNA, 458 nt
Filed under: Klebsiella pneumoniae
Lineage: Bacteria; Pseudomonadati; Pseudomonadota; Gammaproteobacteria; Enterobacterales; Enterobacteriaceae
Also listed under: 1 other name
Description: bacterial SSU rRNA
Rfam family: Bacterial small subunit ribosomal RNA
Source: RNAcentral
ACUUAAAUUGAAGAGUUUGAUCAUGGCUCAGAUUGAACGCUGGCGGCAGGCCUAACACAUGCAAGUCGAGCGGUAGCACAGAGAGCUUGCUCUCGGGUGACGAGCGGCGGACGGGUGAGUAAUGUCUGGGAAACUGCCUGAUGGAGGGGGAUAACUACUGGAAACGGUAGCUAAUACCGCAUAACGUCGCAAGACCAAAGUGGGGGACCUUCGGGCCUCAUGCCAUCAGAUGUGCCCAGAUGGGAUUAGCUAGUAGGUGGGGUAAUGGCUCACCUAGGCGACGAUCCCUAGCUGGUCUGAGAGGAUGACCAGCCACACUGGAACUGAGACACGGUCCAGACUCCUACGGGAGGCAGCAGUGGGGAAUAUUGCACAAUGGGCGCAAGCCUGAUGCAGCCAUGCCGCGUGUGUGAAGAAGGCCUUCGGGUUGUAAAGCACUUUCAGCGGGGAGGAAGGCG